Molecule: ribosomal RNA, 449 nt
Filed under: uncultured bacterium
Lineage: Bacteria
Description: bacterial SSU rRNA
Rfam family: Bacterial small subunit ribosomal RNA
Source: RNAcentral
GAUGAACGCUAGCGGCAGGCCUAACACAUGCAAGUCGAGGGAGAAGCCCUUCGGGGCAGAAACCGGCGCACGGGUGCGUAACGCGUAUGCAACCUACCUUUCACAGGGGGAUAGCCCGAAGAAAUUUGGAUUAAUACCCCAUAAUAUUAUUGGAUGGCAUCAUUUGAUAAUUAAAACUGAGGUGGUGAAAGAUGGGCAUGCGUCCUAUUAGCUAGUUGGAGUGGUAACGGCACCCCAAGGCUACGAUAGGUAGGGGUCCUGAGAGGGAGAUCCCCCACACUGGUACUGAGACAGGGACCAGACUCCUACGGGAGGCAGCAGUGAGGAAUAUUGGUCAAUGGUCGGAAGACUGAACCAGCCAUGCCGCGUGCAGGAAGAAUGCCUUAUGGGUUGUAAACUGCUUUUAUAUGGGAAGAAUAAGGAGUACGUGUACUUNGANGACGNUNCCA